Long non-coding RNA from Chinchilla lanigera (long-tailed chinchilla), 2481 nucleotides. NCBI's taxonomy places the organism in Eukaryota, Metazoa, Chordata, Mammalia, Rodentia, Chinchillidae. The record is from Ensembl.
AUGAACAGCGCCACCGUCGUGCAGCAAGAGUUCCGGGCCAGGGAAGCAGCUGUGGCAGGGCGGCAGGAGAGCCGGGGGCGGCGGCCAGCCACGGCCCACUUCCGCAGGGCAGGGCAGAGCUCCCAGGCACUGUGCCAGCCUCUGUCCGCAACACGGAGCCAGAAACCCGCGCAAGCGGACAAGGAAAGGAGCCGCUGCUCCGCGAGUGACACCGGUGAUGUUCAUACACGCUCUGAGGCCCUCGCAAAGUCGAGCUCGGCGCGUCUGCAGGGAACUCGCUGCUGCUGCUGCGUGUCUGCAGCUGGCCACCUCCCGUUCCGUCCAGCUUCUCUGCACGCACUCGAACAGCUCAUGAGUGACCCGAUGAAGAAACUGCUGCAGGCACGGCCGGGCCCCUCAGCCGACGUCACACGCCAGGAGAGCUGCCGCCAGCAGAGGAAGCCAAGCAGCCUCGCCCAGCGCCAGCGCCAGCGCCAAGAACAGCAAUGCGACGAUGAUGACUACACCUCAUGAUGAAUUAUUUAGGAAAAGUUACGAUCUAUUUGUUCAGUGCUGCUUUCGGGGUUUGAGUUUGGUUUCAUUUGGUUUUGAGACGGGGUCUCCCUAGGUAGUCCAGGCUGGCCCUCAAACUCGCAGUGACCCUCCUGCCUCAGCCUUCCAAGUGCUUGGGGUUAUAGGCAUGCGCCACCACACUCGGCUAGAAAAGUUACAAUGUGAAAGUAAAAGAAAAUUUAACUGACAUUCCUUCAGGUAUAUACUUUGAAACUGAAAUGAUACAAAAUUAGAUGUAAGCGAACAAACUGAAUUUCUAAACGAUCUAUUAGUCAGAUUAUAUGUAUUUCUUAUUCUUUCACAGAGCUCUUCAUUUUCCUUUUCCCAGAUGGUAACGAAUACAAAAUUUACAAGCAGUACCCAAACGUCACUGCCACUGCUGCAGCCCAGUGUCGGCUCUGCAGCCCAAUCGCACAGCUAAGGCUCCCUCGUUACUGCGGCCCAUUCUCACAGCAGGAAUGAAGGAACACACGUGGGCACGGGGCACACAGACACAUCUGAAGAUACGCAUCGUGGGUGUUUUCGCUUCCUGUACUUUUUAGCUAGGCCCCGUGCAUCAGGUUCUAAUAAGGUAGUCAUGGAAAGCUGUCAGCACAUGAAAUAUUUUUAAACCCAUCAACUCCUAAUUAUAGGUGUGAAUUACUGUCCUGCAACCAAAGUCAGAAGCCCCCACCAAAGCCUCACCUUGCAGCCAGUGUCUCUUUUACGAACUCACUUCCGAAAGGCUCACUUCCAAGGAAAGAGACACCAGCCACACAGGGACCAGGGCUUUCCGCACAGGAGCACGGGAGCCGGCGGGUGGCACCAACGGGACAGCUCGCCCACACCAGGGCCCCGCCUGCACACUACACAGCGGCACACUGCAGAAAAGUGGUCCUUACGGCAUCCAGCUGGCCAGGAUGUCUUCUAUUCAUACAAAGAAGGGACCUUUCCAGUAACAACAGGCGAUAACGGACAGUUUCAAAAUAAAAGACAAUGCUUCCUUUAAAAACAAAUAAAGUGCUGGCAACUCUAUACACAUACACACUCGCUCACUAUCUGUCUCUGUCUGUAUCUGUCUGUCUGUCUUUCUCCCCCAUAAAUUUCCUCUCAUUUCAUUUUCCCUCUGCCCAGUAACGGUGACAACUUCCCACCAGCCUAUACCUGGCGAUCCCGGAACCCCCUGAGUCCUCCGCUUCACCCCUUUUCUAGAUGCAAGCACAGUGGCAGCUCUGGCUAUGACAUUCCUGGUCCUGACCACUUGGGGGCUGAGAAGAUAAUCAUACACUCCACAGUCACACAGGAGCAUCCUUCAUUCCCCAGUCCCUAACAGGCGUUUCUAGGAUGUAGCACAUAGUAAUAAAUGUCAGCUGAGUAAGUAAAUCCUUAUUUCCUUUCUAUACAAUUUUAAAUUAGAAGCUUAUUCUUCUAGAAAUAAAAUUAUGCUGAAUAGAGCAAAAGGUUUAAUAUAACAUAUGUAAUAAAAUGCACAUACUUCCUAAUAGUAAUGUGAAGUCCUGGUGUACAAACUUAAAAACUGAUAUAGACAUGCAAUACUGGUCAACCAAAGACUCAUUGACAGUUUCUUUUUCAUGAGAAGCCACUUUGAAGAUAUCAAUAUGUAAUACAACCACCAUUGUUAAUUCCCUACCACUUUGUUUGUAACUCUGUAUUGUCUGUAUUGUGCUUCUGAUAUGUUGUAAAAUGUUGUAUGUCUGUUAAUGUUUCCCUCCUUUUAUCCUUAAAAUAAAAAAAAUAAAAAUAAAAAUAAAAAAGAACUUAAAAACUAGGAUGGUUUUAAUAAUACAACACUUAUGAAUGUAAAAGGUAGGAGAACCAAUUUACUUGGGGAAAAAACAAAAAAAAAAAUUUUUUUUUUUUGGUUCUUUUUUUCCAGUACCGGGAAUUGAACUCACAACCUUGCACUUGCCUAGCUGGCGCUGUGCCACA